UACGAAGGGGGCUAGCGUUGCUCGGAAUCACUGGGCGUAAAGCGCACGUAGGCGGCUUGUUAAGUCAGGGGUGAAAUCCUGGAGCUCAACUCCAGAACUGCCUUUGAUACUGGCGAGCUUGAGUCCGGGAGAGGUGAGUGGAACUGCGAGUGUAGAGGUGAAAUUCGUAGAUAUUCGCAAGAACACCAGUGGCGAAGGUGGCUCACUGGCCCGGUACUGACGCUGAGGUGCGAAAGCGUGGGGAGCAAACAGG
RNAcentral lists this ribosomal RNA (253 nucleotides) under uncultured bacterium. Its description in RNAcentral is "partial 16S ribosomal RNA". It matches the Rfam family "Bacterial small subunit ribosomal RNA", at positions 524 to 776 of the family's 1533-position model. The record is from RNAcentral.